CAUCAGCGGCGAACGGGUGAGUACACGUAGGUGACUUGCCCCGAAGAUGGGGAUACCUCGGGAGGCGGGGGCUAAUACCCAAUGUGCUCGGUGAUUCGGUUGAUCGAGUAAAGCUCCGGCGCUUCGGGAGAGGCCUGCGGCCCAUCAGCUAGUUGGUAGGGUAACGGCCUACCAAGGCAGAGACGGGUAGGGGGCGUGAGAGCGCGGACCCCCACACUGGCACUGCGACACGGGCCAGACUCCUACGGGAGGCAGCAGUAAGGAAUAUUGCGCAAUGGACGAAAGUCAGACGCAGCGACGCCGCGUGGGCGAUGAAGGCCUUCGGGUUGUAAAGCCCUUUUAUGGGGGAAGAGAAAAAGGACGGUACCCCAUGAAUAAGUCCCGGCUAACUACGUGCCAGCAGCCGCGGUAAAACGUAGGGGACAAGCGUUAUCCGGAUUCACUGGGCGUAAAGAGCGUUGAGGCGGUUCCGUAAGUUGGGCGUGAAAGCUCCGGGCUUAACCCGGAGAUGUCGUUCAAUACUGCGGGGCUUGAGGACAGCAGAGGAAGGUGGAAUUCCCGGUGUAGUGGUGAAAUGCGUAGAUAUCGGGAGGAACACCCGUGGCGAAGGCGGCCUUCUGGGCUGUUCCUGACGCUGAAGGCGAAAGCUAGGGGAGCGAACGGGAUUAGAUACCCCGGUAGUCCUAGCUGUAAACGAUGGAUGCUGGGUGUGGGGGGUGUAAAUUCCCUCUGU
Molecule: ribosomal RNA, 733 nt
Filed under: uncultured organism
Description: bacterial SSU rRNA
Rfam family: Bacterial small subunit ribosomal RNA
Source: RNAcentral